GUAUGCAAGCCUCACAAUCCAUUCUCCUGCUGCACUCGCCUCGCCAGCCUGGCCCCAUUCCGUUCCUAGCACAUGUCCUUGCACACCUUACGAUCAUCCAACUUACAGCCUUUGGAAACGCGGGCAGCUGCUUCACAAGGACCCCCCUCGUUUCUAACUCUAAAAAGGUAACCGCUUAGGUAAAAAAUGAUACUGCCGUACAGUCUCUAUAGGGAAGAAGGCCAAUGAUGCCGUACAGUCUCUAUAGGGAAGAAGGCCAAUGAUGCCGUACAGUCUCUAUAGGGAAGAAGGCCAAUGAACAAGGCCCUCAAGUCGUACGGCCUAAAGGGAAAUCUAUCCGUCGCUGGCUCUACCUGCUAAGCGGAAUCUGCAACAAUUUCUUUUAAGUAUAUGACAGCAAGUUUAAGCAUAUUGAUCUUUCGCCUUGUAGCGUGCUUGAUGCUGUGUGGUAAAGCACUGUGUUCCGCGUCUGCGUCCAUUUUGCCUGCCAAAAGUGGUGAACCAACUUAAUCAAAUGCAAAUUUACAAUGCCAUAAAAACGAAAAUGUAGGUAGUGCUGUUACGCACUUUUCGGCGGCGGCAAGAUUUCGCACGGCAUCAUCGCACGACCGAUCUGCGUCGCUGUUCAGCCAGUAUUUAGCCCAGUGCAUAAAUAUCAAAUACUGUGUAUUACAUAUGACUUCUUCUUUUCACAAUUUGUAGGGUUAGUUUGGCUUCUUUUCCUUCGCCGUUAUCGUUGUGAUAGACUGAUCCUUGAGUCAAUACAUUCAUUAAAGCCUUGGACUGCUAGUGAAUAUAAAGCUAGUAAAUGUUGUCAUUGUCGGUACAAUCGCUGACGUUCAGCAUUGUGGUCCUGCUCGCCAUGGCCACGACACACUAUGACGACGGGUGAUCGCCUUAAGUCCGCGUUAGUUCGCGUUAGUUCGCGUAACGGUGCGAAUCUUAGCGUUAGGUGCGAAUGAGCAUGUUUUUGUAACGCAAAGAGCUAACGCACAACGGCUAUGAAAAAGCGGAAAUCGGCCCUACUGGCUAAAAUUUUUAAAUUUUAUAAUUUUCAGAUUGUAAAGGUUCAUUUGGAAAUAAACUUGCGUCGUUUUGGUCGACUUGAGCAAUUCAUCCGUGCUUAUGUUGAAACGCGAAGCAUACGCGCAUGUGUAGCAAGGCGAUACGCAUGCGAUUCCAUAUUGCGAUUCGUGCGUGUGGGGAGACAAUGCGUAAAGCAAUACGCGUCCAAUCGCACAUCAAACGCAUACAGUCCGCAAGGCUAUUCACAUGCGAAUACAUGUUGCGUUUCAUGCGUAUGAAGGCUGAUUGCGUCAAGUUUACUGCGGCCUAACACACCAAACACACACCAAACACACACCAAACACACACGAUUUACUUUGAUUAAUCGCAUGACAUAACAAUUCACAUGCGAUGUUUUAUGUGUUGGUCGCAUACUCAGUUCGUUAACCUUCACGCAGUCUCAUAAGANNNNNNNNNNNNNNNNNNNNNNNNNNNNNNNNNNNNNNNNNNNNNNNNNNCUUGCACCCGCUGCCGUGCCCCGUGCCCGCUCUCCAUCUGUCCGGCCAUGUGGCCACGGCAUCCCUUCCUGUCACGCCUCGCCACUCCAUGCCUCCACUUCCGUCCCGACAUCCCGCCAACAUCACAUCCGCCCUCCCUCCCUCCCAACAUCUGCAGCAUACUUGUACAACAUCACGGCAGCAAUACACGAAGGCGACAUGCCGGACCGUGCGACCGCGACGCAUGCGGCGGUCAUGCAAUUGUGGAUCGCGGCUGCCGGCAGCCUGCGAGCAGAUACCGCCAUAGAGCUCAUUUAUGACUAUGGCAUGGACGCGGGCACCGUCCUCAAGACGGACCAGGAGUUCGCGCGCUCGGUGCUGACGGCCGCGCAGCAGGCGCGAGCGUCGGGCGCCCUCCUGACCACAACCACGCCAGCCAAGCGAGCCGCAAGCAGCCCCGCCGAGCCAGAUUCAAGUGCCUCCCCCCGCACGUGACUGUAUACCAUCACGUGCGCUCCCACCGGCAGAGUGUAUGUCGGCCAGUCACAGGACCCUCAACGCCGCUUCCAGGCUCAUGCCCGCAACCCACCCAGCCGGAUGAAGGAGGACGCCAGCCGCUACCAACCCUUCCAUGACCACUUCUCGCUCACGCGCCUCAUGUCCACCGCCAAUCCUGCACUGGCCCAACGGAUGGAGGCCUUCUACAUCGCGCAGUUCAAGGCUCGGGGGCCAGGCGGCUACAAUGUGCUGUGCGGGCCGCCUUCCGCCAGCCCGGCCUUCUACGCGAUGAGGCGGCAACGCGCGGGCAGCGCACACACGCCCACCGCCGUCACGGUCCAAGACAAUGACGAUGACGCCCCAGACACGCUCGCCUAGCCCUCACAGCACCUACACGCCUCACGCUUGACGGAGUGGGUCCCGCGUAUUCAGCGCGAGGCUUCCCCACCUUGACCAGUGCUGUUUCAUUAGGGCACGAUCGCCCUUGGGCCGUCAUUCACGGUGCAUACUUGUCCGACCUUAACUCGUGUGUGAACGGAAGCUGCUGCCCUUACGGACGGCAGCGCGUGGGAUGGUCUAUUGCGUGAGGUUUGAGGAUAGGGGGGGGCUCCUUGCGCUCCAUCGCAUGUCCGCUCUUCGAGUGCUCGGGGGGAACUUGGCAGCGUGUAAAACACCCAUCAUGUUCACUGUUCUGGCGUGGCCAUCCACGGGCCACAUCGAUCUUCACUCUAACACUUCUCCUUUAUUCCUCCUUCUUAGCACGGAAACCACGUCACGUGUCCUGUGCGCGCGCUGUUGCUGUGCUGCUGUUCUUGGUCUUCUGGUUGUGGUUCCUGUGCUUCUAGCAAACUCGCGCCAGUGCUGUUUCAUUUGGGCACGAUCGCCCUUAGGCCUUCGUUCACGGUGCAUACAUGUCCGACCUUAACCCGUGUGUGAACGGCAGCUGCUGCCCUUACGGACGGCAGCGCUUGGUAUGGACUAUUGCGUGAGGUUUGAGGGAUAGCGGGGGGGCCCGUUGCGCUGCUUUGUAUGUCCGCUCUUGGAGUGCUCGGAAGCAAAUUGGCAGCGUGCAAAGCACCCAUCAUGUUGCCUGUCGUGGCAUGGACAUCCGCGCGCAACAAGGAUCGCCACUCUAGGACUACUCCUUUGUUCCUCCUUCAUUGCACAGACACGACGCGACGUGUCCUGUGCGCGCGCUGUUGCUGUGCUGCUGUUCUUCUUCUUCUGGUUGUGGUUCCUGUGCUUCUAGCAAACUUGCGCCCGCAACGACAUCUUGCAAUGUACUUGCAGUUUGCCGUGCGCCAAUCGCCAUGUAAGCCUCGUAUGCAAGCCUCACAAUUCAUUCUCCUGCUGCACUCGCCUCGCCAGCCUGGCCCCAUUCCGUUCCUAGCACAUGUCCUUGCACACCUUACGAUCAUCCAACUUACAGCCUUUGGAAACGCGGGCAGCUGCUUCACAAGGACCCCCCUCGUUUAAGCAGCCCCUCGCACAAAUGUGUCCGGUCGUACUCUGCCGAAUAGACCCUCCGUACAUCGUCCCCAAAGCCAGGAGCGAAUUUUGCCUCGCGGAUGCGCACGUGCGUUUCGAAAAAUGCGCCUGU
RNAcentral lists this long non-coding RNA (3600 nucleotides) under Volvox carteri. RNAcentral describes it as "long non-coding RNA (VCAR_LNC003079)". Lineage: Eukaryota; Viridiplantae; Chlorophyta; Chlorophyceae; Chlamydomonadales; Volvocaceae. The record is from RNAcentral.